GAGUUUGAUCCUGGCUCAGAACGAACGCUGGCGGCGUGCUUAAUACAUGCAAGUCGUGCGAGAACGGGGGCUUCGGCCUCCUAGUAAAGCGGCGAACGGGUGCGUAACACGUGGGCAACCUGCCUAUCAGUUUGGGAUAAGCUCUCGAAAGGGGGUCUAAUACCGAAUGAUACCCAGAGGAGACAUCUCUUUUGGUUCAAAGACGGUGAAAGCCGUCGCUGAUAGAUGGGCCCGCGCCCCAUUAGCUAGUUGGUAGGGUAACGGCCUACCAAGGCUCCGAUGGGUAGCCGACCUGAGAGGGUGACCGGCCACACUGGGACUGAGAUACGGCCCAGACUCCUACGGGAGGCAGCAGUAGGGAAUAUUGCGCAAUGGAGGCAACUCUGACGCAGCAACGCCGCGUGGAUGAUGAAGCUCUUUGGAGUGUAAAGUCCUGUCGCCAGGGAAGAAACGAUGGAUGAGGAAAUGCAUUCGUCCUGACGGUACCUGGAGAGGAAGUUCCGGCUAACUCCGUGCCAGCAGCCGCGGUAACACGGGGGGAACGAGCGUUGUUCGGAUUUACUGGGCGUAAAGGGUGCGUAGGCGGGUUGGCAAGUCGGGUGUGAAAUUCCAUAGCUUAACUAUGGACCUGCAUUCGAAACUGUUGAUCUUGAGUACUGGAGAGGUGAGUGGAAUUCUCGGUGUAGCGGUGAAAUGCGUAGAUAUCGAGAGGAACACCGUUGGCGAAGGCGGCUCACUGGACAGAUACUGACGCUGAGGCACGAAGGUCGGGGGAGCAAACAGGAUUAGAUACCCUGGUAGUCCCGACGGUAAACGAUGGGCACUAGGUGUCGGAGGUAUCGACCCCUCCGGUGCCGCAGUUAACACAUUAAGUGCCCCGCCUGGGGAGUACGACCGCAAGGUUGAAACUCAAAGGAAUUGACGGGGGCCCGCACAAGCGGUGGAGUAUGUGGUUUAAUUCGACGCAACGCGAAGAACCUUACCUGGGCUUGACAUGUAACGGACAUGGUUAGAGAUAACCACUCGUCUUCGGACGUCGUUGCACAGGUGCUGCAUGGCUGUCGUCAGCUCGUGCCGUGA
This 1080-nucleotide ribosomal RNA is filed under the name uncultured bacterium. RNAcentral describes it as "bacterial SSU rRNA". It matches the Rfam family "Bacterial small subunit ribosomal RNA", at positions 9 to 1070 of the family's 1533-position model. The record is from RNAcentral.